AUUGAACGCUGGCGGCAGGCCUAACACAUGCAAGUCGAGCGAGGGGCGGACGGGUGAGUAAUGUAUGGGGAUCUGCCCGAUUGAGGGGGAUAACUACUGGAAACGGUGGCUAAUACCGCAUUCUAUCGGAUGAACCCCUAUGGGAUUGGCUAGUAGGUGGGGUAAAGGCUCACCUAGGCUACGAUCUCUAGCUGGUCUGGUAGGAUGCUCAGCCACACUGGGACUGAGACACGGCCCAGACUCCUAGGGGAGGCAGCAGUGGGGAAUAUUGCACAAUGGGCGCAAGCCUGAUGGAGCCAUGCCGCGUGAAUGAAGAAGGCCUUAGGGUUGUAAAGUACUUUCAGCGGUGAGGCGUUACCCGCAGAAGAAGCACCGGCUAACUCCGUGCCAGCAGCCGCGGUAAUAC
RNAcentral lists this ribosomal RNA (406 nucleotides) under uncultured bacterium. RNAcentral describes it as "partial 16S ribosomal RNA". It matches the Rfam family "Bacterial small subunit ribosomal RNA", at positions 30 to 526 of the family's 1533-position model. The record is from RNAcentral.